UUGAACCUUGGCGAUGGAGGCCGCCAGGGCGCUUGUUUUUGCUGCCCAAACCGCUCUCUUUUGAGCUGAUGGCUCCUAGCUCACA
This 85-nucleotide non-coding RNA is filed under the name Chthonomonas calidirosea. RNAcentral's name for it is "Fluoride sequence". It matches the Rfam family "Fluoride riboswitch aptamer (crcB RNA motif)". The record is from RNAcentral. Lineage: Bacteria; Bacillati; Armatimonadota; Chthonomonadia; Chthonomonadales; Chthonomonadaceae. RNAcentral also lists the same sequence under 1 other name.